UUAAUAUAUACUAUUAAUUUAGUUUUCCCGAACUUAGAAGAGCUAAUUAAUUAUUUAUUUUAUUGUUGAAUAAAUAUUUAUAAUUAUUAAUUGGUAAUGAAAUGUUAUUCGUUUCUAAAUAUAUCUGGUUUUUCAAGAAAUAGAUUUAAUCUACUUAAUUUUAUUUAAGUUACUUAUUUUUUAGUAUCUUUUAUGUAUUAAGAAAUAUCUUAGGGGAUGAGCUUUAGGAUAAAUUUUUAUAAUUUAUUUAUUUUUAUAUUAAGAAUAGGAUUAGAAUUUUCCAUUUUUAAGAGGAUGUUAUAGUCAAUUUUAUUUUAUCUAAUAUUUAUAUUUAAUUUAAAUUUAUAUUGAAAUUUAAUUUUUAAUUUUAUUUGAUUAGGAAUAAUGAUAAAAUUAGUAUAUUUUAUUGUGUAUUUAUUAUAAAUUUUUUAGGUUAGCAAAAGGAACUCGGCAAUUGAUUUUUCACCUGUUUAUUAAAAACAUGGCCUUUUGAUUAUUAUUUAAGGUCUAGCCUGCCCACUGAGGUUUUAAAUGGCCGCGGUAUUCU
RNAcentral lists this ribosomal RNA (547 nucleotides) under Holonotus laevithorax. RNAcentral describes it as "partial 16S ribosomal RNA". Lineage: Eukaryota; Metazoa; Arthropoda; Insecta; Coleoptera; Cerambycidae. The record is from RNAcentral.